Molecule: long non-coding RNA, 853 nt
Filed under: Heterocephalus glaber (naked mole-rat)
Lineage: Eukaryota; Metazoa; Chordata; Mammalia; Rodentia; Bathyergidae
Description: lncRNA (ENSHGLG00000049673.1)
Source: RNAcentral
AACGCCUCCUCCUGCCACCACCCCGCAGUUCUCCUCAGGGUGAGUCAGCUUAGGGUGGCAGCUCCGAGGCCAGGCAGCUGCGAGGGGGAGGACGAACCGGAUGCCUCCAAACUGGUCCCUGCGGAUCCCACCCUGGCACCGGGCCUCCCUGGUGGCAUCCUGUUUGGCAGGCCAGCCUCGAAGAAAGUUUACAAUUAACAUUCCUGGUUUAGUCUCCACCCCCUCUUGAAAUGGAAUUUUUAUCUCUUGAUUCCUGCUACAAGAUGCGAUGCCUGUUUAUCCAGUUGCAUGAAUAAUUGGUCAGCUCUUUCCAACUUGCCAGAAGCAACCCCUGGCCGUUUCUGGAGCACUGGGAGAGACCUUCGCACAGUUUCUGCUUGGAGUCCACCGCUCUUCAUCUCAGGUGGAGGUUUGUGAGUUACAGGUCUAGACAGCUACCUGUUCUAUUUGGCUUAGCCUGUGCUGCAGAAAGUCCCAGUUCUUCCAAAUCAAGCUCCAGGAAAUUGAGAAGCAUGUUAUUAGUUUUAGCAAACAAUUUAAACAAAACUAAGACCAGAUCUCCCAGCAAUGGUGAAGGAUCUCAAGGGAGACCUUGGUCACAGUGGGCCUGGCUUCCCUACAGGCACUGCCUGCCAUAGAGGACAAGCCAUCGAAAAGUGAGGGAGAAGAACAAUGACGCUGCCAGUGAUCCUGCCCCCAGCGUGGACCCUGCUGCUCCUUGAGGAAAUACACGGUCCUGGGAGCUCCGCUAGUGGGGUGCGCACCAUCCCACAGUGGUUCUGGUGCCUAAGAUGUACAUUAGUUGGACCACACCAACCAGCCUUGCACGACCGUUCUGAGUAAUUGAGAGGAG